AAAAUCCCUUAUAUUAAAAAAAGGACCAUAGCUAAGCUAUGUAUCCGCUCUUAGAAGUUUGUAUCUCGUGUAGUAGUAGUAGACGUAAAUGUUUAACUAGCUUCUUAUUGAUGACACGUAGUCGUAACUGAAAGGUUGAUCGAUCACAAUGUGGCCUGAACAAAGCCCAUGACUUAUGUAGCAGCAGUGAGGAAUUUUGGUCAAUAGCCGCAAGGCUGAACCAGCAACUUGGAGGAAUCAAUGGCAAUAGCCAAUGCAUUAAUAUGAUGCAAUAUCGAAGUCGAAUAAAAUUCUGGGUAGACUAUGAUAAUGACAUUAUCUAUCUAGAUGUCUUGACCAAAAUACGUGCCAGCAGUCGCGGUAAGACGUUAAAGACAAGUGUUAUUCAUGUUUAAUCGGUUUAAAGAGUCCCAAGACUGUUAAUAAAGCCUACUGGGGACACAUUAACUAGAGUUAUAUGAAAGGGGGCUGUGAGGUACUGUCGGGUGGAGAGAUAAAAUUCCAUUAUACAGAUGAUGGCACCAACAAAUGCGAAGGCAUCCUCUUAUGUAAUAACUGACGUUUUCAGACGAAGGCUUAGGGAAGAAAAAUGGAUUAGAUACCCUCGUAUUCUAAGCAGAAAAUGAUGAAUGUCAUAGGUUGAAGAUAAAUAAUAUUUAUUUUGGUCUAUAAAUGAAAGUGUAAGCAUUCCACCUCAAGAGUAAUUUGGCAACAUUGGAACUGAAAUCAUUAGGCCGUUUUUGAAACCAGUAGUGAAGUAUGUUGUUUAAUUUGAUAACCCGCACAAAACCUUACCACUAUUUGCAUAAAUAUUUAUGUAUAUAUUUACAAGUGUUGCACGGCUGUCUUCAGUUGAUGUCGUGAGGCUAGGUUACUCCUAACAAUCAACGCAAACCCUUACUUUAUUUUUAUAUAAAGUUGUUCACCUGUCAUGGGAGAUGCUAAUAGG
RNAcentral lists this ribosomal RNA (949 nucleotides) under Nephroma laevigatum. RNAcentral describes it as "SSU rRNA". It matches the Rfam family "Bacterial small subunit ribosomal RNA", at positions 163 to 1173 of the family's 1533-position model. Lineage: Eukaryota; Fungi; Ascomycota; Lecanoromycetes; Peltigerales; Nephromataceae. The record is from RNAcentral.